Molecule: long non-coding RNA, 415 nt
Filed under: Castor canadensis (American beaver)
Lineage: Eukaryota; Metazoa; Chordata; Mammalia; Rodentia; Castoridae
Description: lncRNA (ENSCCNG00000029880.1)
Source: RNAcentral
AUUUCAGCUAUCAGAACUGAUUUGCAAGGAUUACUUUUUCUGGUGGGCUCUCUUUCAGUCUCUGUUUUAGGCCCAGAAGGAAAAAAAAAUCACAGACCACAAUCAAUCUUAGACUUUUCCUUGGGGAUGAGCAAGAGGUCCCUGGAUCAAAGACAUGAGCAAGAGUUGAUGGCCCUAAAAUGGAAAACUUAGCUGAAAUGAAGAGAUUAUGAAUCUUUCCAAAGUAGGGUAGCCUGGGCAUAAAAUAGAAAUAAGGAACAGUACAAUUGACCACUAGUGGUGACUCAAAUAAAUUAUGAAGAACUGGGAGAGCUUAUCACUGCCAGCCUCCAUAGGAUGUUGGAAAUAUCUGGCACAUGGAAAAGGGAAACUGGCGGCUGAGGCUCCUGGGGAUCGUGACUGGUUCUGGACAUGA